This 75-nucleotide transfer RNA is filed under the name Limnoglobus roseus. Its description in RNAcentral is "tRNA-Pro". It matches the Rfam family "tRNA". Rfam says of the family: Transfer RNA (tRNA) molecules are approximately 80 nucleotides in length. Their secondary structure includes four short double-helical elements and three loops (D, anti-codon, and T loops). The record is from RNAcentral. Lineage: Bacteria; Pseudomonadati; Planctomycetota; Planctomycetia; Gemmatales; Gemmataceae.
CGGGGCAUGGGCCAGGUGGAGUGGCCGCUUGCGUCGGAAGCAAGAGAACGCAGGUUCGACUCCUGUUGCCCCGAC